GUUCAGCCGCCGCUGCUGGCGCGCACUGUACAGCGGCAUCAGCCGCUUGUAGGACAUGUCCAGCAGCUGGUCCAGGUCCACGCCACGGAAGUGCAACUGGACAGCACUGACCCAGAGACAGGGGUUAAAAUGGACCUUCCUUCCUAUCAAGCCAUGGACUAAUGAUUAAGGAGUGGGACCAUUUAUCAGACCUGUCUAGUCUAUGAAUUCCACCCCAAGGGCCACAGUUGUGCACGGGCAUUGAGCCAAUCCCUGGACUUCUGCUGGCACGUGGGAGGAAGGACUCUCUCUUUCCAUGAGGAUUGCUGAGAGGAAGCCUAGGGCUGCCAGCAAUCAUCCUGCCACCGCACGGGAGGUGCACACCUGAAUGAAGGUAACAGCCGCAGAGAGCAAAGCCCACAUGGAGGAGCCAGGACAGGAUGGGGACAACAAGGCUUGAGCCCCUAGAUCCGGGCAUGCCUGGCCUUUUAGAUAACCAAUUUCUGCGAAGAAGUGCUUCCUCUUUUGCACUGUUAAGUCAGCUGAAGAACCACUUGUAGAAGAAAAUUGGAUAAAUGUUAGCUGCCGUUCAUUUCUUUACUGGUUUUCAAAAUAAAGAUUGGUCCGAAGGUGAUCAAUGAGGAUCUCCCACACCCUUUUUCUUUUUUAGUAUCAUCAAUGGCUUUUCUGCUUCAUCAUUUUAGUCUCAGCAUGGGUUGUAACAUAUAUUAUAUGUUUCCAAAUGUUGAUGAUUUUUGUGUGUUUUUUUGGGGAGUGGUGGAGGGAUAUUUAAUUUAUCCCAUCUUUGGCCAGUGGGAGCCGCUUCUCUUCAGACUUGCUACCAAGGCCCCAUACAGUAGUUGAUAGCUUCCUGCUAUCACAAUAAGCAAGAGGUUACAGACUCAUCUUGUUCAUCUUCUGCCCCUAACCUAGAAUCGGCCAUUUCUCUAAGGAACCAAGAAAUUCACCAUUCUUAACCAUUUACACUCUAUUAUCUCUGUAUUUUCCUUGAGCAUACACCUGGGGAAUGAGAAGGAAGGAGGAAGAGAAAAAAAUAACUGAAGAGGGCCAAGUAAAAGGGCAAAGAAGAAAAGUGUAACAUGGCCAUCUGAGAAGCUUGCACAAAAUGUGAUGCAAACAUUACUCCAAAAACCUGACAGGCAAAGUGACAAGUAAAUACAGUGGGGAAGCACUUGCUAGACCCUGGCCUGGAAUUUACUCCAAGGACAGGAAACAUGGUGAGGGAAAGAUUGGCAUUAGAACAAUUUGAUGAAAUAGGCAAGAGUUUCAUGCUUGAGUAAGACAGGCUCUGCCCUGGGCCAGUACCAUAGUGAGAAUUCAAAUUCUAUCCUCAGCAAUGGAAGGGGCCUCCAAGGACACCCAUUAGGUACAACGUCCUCUGGUCUAAGUGAAGUGAGGUCUGCCUAUAUUAGCCCCACAUCUUUGCUACCAAAGACUCUCCUUCCCUUUCCUCAUGGUACACAUUUUAUCCCAAUAUCCUUGCAGCAUUCAUUGAGUCAUCAAAUGUUUAUUAAGAAGCCACCAAGUACAACAUGCUGUGCUUGAUCAAUUGAACAAGGGGAGACCUGGUCUCUUCCUGCAGAGUUCACAGGCCAGUGGAGAGAGAUCUCAAUCAAUAAGCACACAGCUACAUGCAGGAGUAGCAAGUACCAUCAGGGAGAGGCUCAUGGUGAUUUGGUAGUGUAUUUCGUAGUAUAAAACAGAGGCACUAAAGGAGGGCCUGGAGGUAAAGGCAGGGCUGCUAGAGCAUGAGAUUUUUAGAUGGAGAAAUAGUGUUUGUAGGUACCAAGGCUCCGGGGUAGGAGGAAACAGAGCAUACACAAAUAAUUGUAACAAAGUCAUGGAAUCCAGAGCAAAGAAAGGAAAAAGGAACACAGCGCACCAUGAGCCUGGAAAUGCAGCAAGGAGCCAGACUCAGCAGGAACUUCCAGGCAUUCAGUGUUUGUGUUCACUAAGUUAUUGGCUACAGUGGUUGUUUAAGGAUCAAGAGACCUUAAGACUCAGAGGUAAGAUGGAAUGACAUGCUGUAGGUUCAUAAUAUGGGAUAGAAAGCCUUCUCAGCGACCCUUAGAUUAGCAGCAGUGGACCAUGAGUAAACAGAAACGUGGACCUCAAAGAACAAGGCAAGAGAGGCCCAGGGCCAUUCACAGGCUAUAAAACCAAACAGCUGUAAUUCACAAGAAAUGGAAACAUGGAUUUUCAUCCUCAGGACAUGAAAUAAGUGCUCCCAUUACAGAAAAUUAAGAUUCAGUCACUACCAAGGGAAACAAAACAGCAGAGAAAUCUCUGCAACAAAGACUUUUAUGACACACCAAUACAGGAAACUUUUUUCUUUUUUGAAUUCACUGUUGGAAG
RNAcentral lists this long non-coding RNA (2355 nucleotides) under Homo sapiens (human). Its description in RNAcentral is "HSALNT0311886". Lineage: Eukaryota; Metazoa; Chordata; Mammalia; Primates; Hominidae. The record is from RNAcentral.